AUGCGGACGGCAUGGGGAAACCCUAGAGGUUUGGUAUUCCACCCCUCGGGGGACAAUGUCUUUGUAGCUGAAUUUGGUUCCUAGGCCGAUCGUGCCAGGGUGAUCGAGGGCUCGCCAUGGAUGGUGGGGAAGCAUGCAGUGUUGCUAAAAGUUUUUGAUCUGAAUACUUUGCCGUCUCAAGUUCAGUUUGAUCACUUGGGGCUUUGGGCUCGUAUUAUGCAUGUUCCUCCGAGGCUUAUGAAGGCAAAAUUGGGAAUGGAAUUUGCCAAGCCGAUUGGGAGGAUUCACAAGGUGGAUUCGGAUGCGGAUGGUCGCUGCUGGGGUAGUUUCAUGAGAGUGAGAGUUGAAAUUGCUGUCCAGGAACCGGUGGUGCAUUAUGUUACGGUGACCUUUCUCAAGCUGAAAAGGACGGAGACGUUCUCAGUUAUGUAUGAGAGACUGCCUUUUUAUUGCUACUCUUGUGGCCUCCUUGGUCACUCCUCGGUUCUGUGCCCAAAUCCAGCGACUAGGGACGAGAAUGGUGACCUACCAUAUGCGGCGAAAAAGCUUUCUGUUGCUGAUGAUCAGUUGAAGAGAUUUGGAGGCUCUAGGUCCAGCUCGGCCUCUUUUUUGGCUGCGGGUGCUGGCUCGUCCGGGACUGUUCGGUCGGGUGACUCUGGUCAUGGUAGGGCUGCUGCUCAAGGCGGCCAUGGUGCCUCUGAAGCCGAGGUUUCCUCUCCCAACAGACGCGGCGGCUCUACUCGUGGUCGGGGGAGGUCCAGCCGCGGUAGAGGAAGAGGUCGCACCAGUGAUCCCGGGCGUGAGCUUUUUCCGUCAGCUCCGAAAAGCAAGCCCAACACAACGGGACAGAAAAGAAAGCCUACCAAAGCUCCUGCCUCCUCUCCGCUCCAAGACCAGGAGGAUGAUAACAUCUUAGCCAUUGUUGUUGUGCCAGGAGAGCCUGUGGGUACUACAGAUGAUGUUCAGAACUCUAAUGUGGAUUCCAACAAGAAGCAACAUGUUUCAAACAACUGA
RNAcentral lists this ribosomal RNA (1014 nucleotides) under Triticum aestivum (bread wheat). RNAcentral's name for it is "partial small subunit ribosomal RNA". Lineage: Eukaryota; Viridiplantae; Streptophyta; Magnoliopsida; Poales; Poaceae. The record is from RNAcentral.